GGCUUGUUGGUCUAGGGGUAUGAUUUUCGCUUGGUGUGCGAGAGGUCCUGGGUUCAAAUCCCGGACGAGCCC
Molecule: transfer RNA, 72 nt
Filed under: Dreissena polymorpha
Lineage: Eukaryota; Metazoa; Mollusca; Bivalvia; Myida; Dreissenidae
Description: transfer RNA threonine (anticodon GGU)
Rfam family: tRNA
About the family: Transfer RNA (tRNA) molecules are approximately 80 nucleotides in length. Their secondary structure includes four short double-helical elements and three loops (D, anti-codon, and T loops). Further hydrogen bonds mediate the characteristic L-shaped molecular structure. tRNAs have two regions of fundamental functional importance: the anti-codon, which is responsible for specific mRNA codon recognition, and the 3' end, to which the tRNAs corresponding amino acid is attached (by aminoacyl-tRNA synthetases). tRNAs cope with the degeneracy of the genetic code in two manners: having more than one tRNA (with a specific anti-codon) for a particular amino acid; and 'wobble' base-pairing, i.e. permitting non-standard base-pairing at the 3rd anti-codon position.
Source: Rfam by way of RNAcentral